RNAcentral lists this ribosomal RNA (496 nucleotides) under uncultured bacterium. RNAcentral's name for it is "partial 16S ribosomal RNA". It matches the Rfam family "Bacterial small subunit ribosomal RNA", at positions 30 to 523 of the family's 1533-position model. The record is from RNAcentral.
AUUGAACGCUGGCGGAAUGCUUUACACAUGCAAGUCGAACGGUAGAGGGGGCAACCCCUCGAGAGUGGCGAACGGGUGAGUAAUAUAUCGGAACGUGCCCAGUCGUGGGGGAUAACGUAGCGAAAGUUACGCUAAUACCGCAUACGAUCUAAGGAUGAAAGCGGGGGAUCGCAAGACCUCGCGCGAUUGGAGCGGCCGAUAUCAGAUUAGGUAGUUGGUGGGGUAAAGGCUCACCAAGCCAACGACCUGUAGCUGGUCUAAGAGGACGACCAGCCACACUGGAACUGAGACACGGUCCAGACUCCUACGGGAGGCAGCAGUGGGGAAUUUUGGACAAUGGACGCAAGUCUGAUCCAGCCAUUCCGCGUGCAGGAUGAAGGCCCUCGGGUUGUAAACUGCUUUUGUACGGAACGAAAAGGUCUCUCUUAAUACGGGGGACUCAUGACGGUACCGUAAGAAUAAGCACCGGCUAACUACGUGCCAGCCGCCGCGGUAA